CAGGGAUUGCCUUAGUAACGGCGAGUGAAGCGGCAAUAGCUCAAAUUUGAAAUCUGGCGCUUGCGUCCGAGUUGUAAUUUGCAGAGGAUGAUUUUGGUUAGGUACCUUCCGAGUUCCUUGGAACAGGACGCCUUAGAGGGUGAGAGCCCCGUACGGUUGGAUGCCGAGCCUUUGUAAAUCUCCUUCGACGAGUCGAGUAGUUUGGGAAUGCUGCUCUAAAUGGGAGGUAAAUUUCUUCUAAAGCUAAAUACCGGCCAGAGACCGAUAGCGCACAAGUAGAGUGAUCGAAAGAUGAAAAGCACUUUGAAAAGAGGGUUAAAUAGCACGUGAAAUUGUUGAAAGGGAAGGAUUUAUGACCAGACUUUUUCUAGGAGGAUCAUCCGGUGUUCUCACCGGUGCACUUCUUCUAGUUUAGGCCAGCAUCGACUUUCGGCGGUGGAUAAAAGCUUUAGGAAUGUGGCUCCUCUCGGGGAGUGUUAUAGCCUAUUGUAUAAUACACUGCUGGGGGUCGAGGUACGCGCUUCUGCAAGGAUGCUGGCGUAAUGGUUAUCAAUCACCCGUCUUGAAACACGGACCAAGGAGUCGAACAUUUGUGCAAGUGUUUGGGUGUUAAACCCUCACGCGUAAUGAAAGUGAACGGAGGUGAGAGCCCUUACGGGUGCAUCAUCGACCGAUCCUGAUGUUUUCGGAUGGAUUUGAGUAAGAGCAUAACUGUUCGGACCCGAAAGAUGGUGAACUAUGCGUGGAUAGGGUGAAGCCAGAGGAAACUCUGGUGGAGGCUCGCAGCGGUUCUGACGUGCAAAUCGAUCGUCAAAUCUGCGCAUGGGGCGAAAGACUAAUCGA
This 843-nucleotide ribosomal RNA is filed under the name Hyalotiella transvalensis. RNAcentral describes it as "LSU rRNA". It matches the Rfam family "Eukaryotic large subunit ribosomal RNA", at positions 69 to 938 of the family's 3401-position model. Lineage: Eukaryota; Fungi; Ascomycota; Sordariomycetes; Amphisphaeriales; Sporocadaceae. The record is from RNAcentral.